CCUACGGGGGGCUGCAGUGGGGAAUAUUGCACAAUGGGCGCAAGCCUGAUGCAGCGACGCCGCGUGAGCGAUGAAGGCCUUCGGGUCGUAAAGCUCUGUCCUAAGGGAAGAAUAAUGACGGUACCUUAGGAGGAAGCCCCGGCUAACUACGUGCCAGCAGCCGCGGUAAUACGUAGGGGGCGAGCGUUAUCCGGAAUCACUGGGCGUAAAGGGUGCGUAGGCGGCCCUGCAAGUCAGGAGUUAAAUCCCUCGGCUCAACCGAGGUCAGCUCUUGAAACUGUAGGGCUUGAGUGCAGGGGAGAGGGGGGGAAUUCCUAGUGUAGGGGGGAAAUGGGUAGAUAUUAGGGGGAACACCAGGGGGGAGGGGGGAUAUCGGGACUGCAACUGACGCUGGGGCACGAAAGCGUGGGGGGCGAACAGGAUUAGAUACCCUUGUAGUC
RNAcentral lists this ribosomal RNA (440 nucleotides) under uncultured bacterium. Its description in RNAcentral is "partial 16S ribosomal RNA". It matches the Rfam family "Bacterial small subunit ribosomal RNA", at positions 338 to 795 of the family's 1533-position model. The record is from RNAcentral.